AACGAACGCUGGCGGCAGGCUUAACACAUGCAAGUCGAGCGCCCCGCAAGGGGAGCGGCAGACGGGUGAGUAACACGUGGGAAUCUACCCAACCCUACGAAAUAGCUCCGGGAAACUGGAAUUAAUACCGUAUACGCCCUUAGGGGGAAAGAUUUAUCGGGGAUGGAUGAGCCCGCGCUGGAUUAGCUAGUUGGUGGGGUAAAGGCCUACCAAGGCGACGAUCCAUAGCUGGUCUGAGAGGAUGAUCAGCCACAUUGGGACUGAGACACGGCCCAAACGCCUACGGAAGGCAGCAGUGGGGAAUAUUGGACAAUGGGCGCAAGCCUGAGCCAGCCAUGCCGCGUGAGUGAUGAAGGCCUUAGGGUUGUAAAGCUCUUUCACCGGAGAAGAUAAUGACGGUAUCCGGAGAAGAAGCCCCGGCUAACUCCGUGCCAGCAGCCGCGGUAA
RNAcentral lists this ribosomal RNA (447 nucleotides) under uncultured bacterium. Its description in RNAcentral is "partial 16S ribosomal RNA". It matches the Rfam family "Bacterial small subunit ribosomal RNA", at positions 29 to 523 of the family's 1533-position model. The record is from RNAcentral.